GGGGAUGAAAGGCUUUCGACAGGGUUGUUGAACCUCGGUCAGCGAGUAGCGGAGUUGCACCGCUUAAAAAGUAACAACUUAAAUAUUAACUGACAAUAAUAAAACAGUUCUUAAGGCUGCCUAAGUGCGCCUUCGUUCUCCUUGGGUAGUGCCACGAACCCUUUGAGAGCGUCGACUUAGUGGCGAACAUGAACGGGAGAGCGUCUCGGCUCCCGUCAGGUAUCAGAGACUACCGUACCCCGUAGGCUGUUUGUUGCCGACCGGCGAGGGGAAUCAUAAAUAACAAACUACACUCGUAGAGCCCCCGGCAAGACAAUUUUGGACACGAGUUCGACUCUCGUCAUCUCCACCA
RNAcentral lists this transfer-messenger RNA (352 nucleotides) under Acutalibacteraceae. Its description in RNAcentral is "Eubacterium_R sp900548085 Standard tmRNA". It matches the Rfam family "transfer-messenger RNA". Rfam says of the family: Bacterial tmRNA, also known as 10Sa RNA or SsrA, is named for its dual tRNA and mRNA-like properties. Its role is to liberate the mRNA from a stalled ribosome. The record is from RNAcentral. RNAcentral also lists the same sequence under 1 other name. Lineage: Bacteria; Bacillati; Bacillota; Clostridia; Eubacteriales.